Molecule: ribosomal RNA, 878 nt
Filed under: uncultured bacterium
Lineage: Bacteria
Description: bacterial SSU rRNA
Rfam family: Bacterial small subunit ribosomal RNA
Source: RNAcentral
AGUUUGAUCCUGGCUCAGGACGAACGCUGGCGGCGUGCCUAAUGCAUGCAAGUCGCACGCACGGAGCUUGCUCCGUGAGUGGCGCACGGCUGAGGAACACGUGGGCACCUGCCCCGCCGUGGGGGAUAACAGCGCGAAAGCGCUGCUAAUCCCGCAUACGCUUGACCGUUCGGUCAAGGAAAGUCGCAAGGCGCGGCGGGAGGGGCCUGCGGCCCAUCAGGUAGUUGGUGCGGUAACGGCGCACCAAGCCGAUGACGGGUAGCUGGUCUGUGAGGACAACCAGCCAGACUGGGACUGAGACACGGCCCAGACUCCUACGGGAGGCAGCAGCAAGGAAUUUUCCCCAAUGGGCGCAAGCCUGAGGGAGCAACGCCGCGUGCGGGAUGACGGCCUUCGGGUUGUAAACCGCUUUUGGAGGGGAAGAAACAGACGGUACCCUCCGAAUAAGCCUCGGCUAACUCUGUGCCAGCAGCCGCGGUAAGACAGAGGAGGCAAGCGUUGUCCGGACUGACUGGGCGUAAAGCGCGCGCAGGCGGAUAUGGGCGUCGGUGCUGAAAGACCACCGCUUAACGGUGGCUCGCGUGCCGAUACGCCAUAUCUGGAGGGCGGGCGAGGGCGGUGGAAUUGCCGGUGUAGUGGUGAAAUGCGUAGAGAUCGGCAGGAACACCCGUGGCGGAAGCGGCCGCCUAGCCCGCACCUGACGCUGAGGCGCGACAGCGUGGGGAGCGAACGGGAUUAGAUACCCCGGUAGUCCACGCCGUAAACGAUGCCGACUCGGUGUCCGUGGGGCGAAUAGCCCUGGGGGCGCCCAAGCUCACGCGGUAAGUCGGCCGCCUGGGGACUACGAGCGCAAGCUUAAAACUCAAAGGAAUUGACGG